GAUGAACGCUAGCUACAGGCUUAACACAUGCAAGUCGAGGGGAAACGACAUCGAAAGCUUGCUUUUGAUUGGCGUCGACCGGCGCACGGGUGAGUAACGCGUCUCCACCCUGCCCAUCACUUGGGGUUAACCUUGCGAAAGUAAGACUAAUACCUAAUGUUAUCUCUAGAAGUCAUCUGAAAGAGAUUAAAGUUUUAUCGGUGAUGGAUGGGGAUGCGUCUGAUUAGCUUGUUGGCGGGGUAACGGCCCACCAAGGCAACGAUCAGUAGGGGUUCUGAGAGGAAGGUCCCCCACAUUGGAACUGAGACACGGACCAAAAUCGUACGGGAGGCAGGAGUGAGGAAUAUUGGUCAAGGGGCGAGAGCCUGAAACAGCCAAGUAGCGUGCAGGAAGACGGCCAUAUGGAUUGUAAACUGCUAUUAAAAGGGAAAAAAGUGAGAGUCGGGACUCUUUUUGAAGGUACCUUAUGAAUAAGGACCGGCUAAUUCCGUG
Molecule: ribosomal RNA, 492 nt
Filed under: uncultured bacterium
Lineage: Bacteria
Description: partial 16S ribosomal RNA
Rfam family: Bacterial small subunit ribosomal RNA
Source: RNAcentral